AGAUCAUCUCGUCUGUCGCAGCUCUUGCCUUUCCAAGGGCUGCUGUCCCCUCUUCUCUUCUCGGGAGUUUAGACUCGGAAAGGUCGAUUCACGAAAAAAUCAAAAUUGGGACCAGGAUCUCAGCAACCUCAAACGGGAGCGAGUGCGACUUCGGACUCCCACCAUGAUGUCUCUCAAAUUCUCCCGACCAGUGGUGAUAGUGUCCCCGCUACUUCACGCCCUUUCCGUCCCCCGCGAAGUGAACUAAGGCCUGCUCCACAGACGAGCACAAAUAGUGCCCAGAACUCGCUGCCAGGCCAUCUAAACUUGGACGCUAAUGCAAAUGAGGAACCUCUUGCUGAAGAAGAAGUUGACGACCUCCAUGAUGCUUCUGUGGCUCGGAGUUGCAGAGGACGCAAGACUACAUAGUUUUGGACGGUUAAGAUCAUCGUGUUGCAAUUCUACCCCAAUUUAUGCAUGUUAUAUGCUGGUCGGAUCCAUCGUGCUUCGUUUGAUAGGUGUAUAAUAAGACUGUGACGGCACAAUCAAGCCAGCAAAACUAAGCGUGAGGGAUGCUAUGAAACGGCCUAACGGUAGGAAGAUCGUGCUCAGGUUCAACAACGCAAAGCAAGCAAUUGGAUACGAAGCUGGACUGUUGAGUGGCGUGCUUGGUCUGCUGGGAUCUGAUUAUGGAAAAUUCCCAUCUGUAGGAAAAGUUGGCGUCAGAUUACCACUAAAGACAAGGUUUAUAACGAAUGUGUCAAGCAAAAUUUCCACUUUGAUGAAGACAGCGAAGGAACUAUCAAGAAAAAUAUUUUGAAAAGUAUGGGCAAGUCUUGGAAGAAAACAAGGCUGAGGUUGUAUGACCGUUUUUAUGAGCCAAUAUUCACGGCUGAACAAAAUUUUGAGAAUCGACCGCUGGGAAUUGAUCGAGAACAUUGGAGAUGGUUCCUUGACUAUCGCGCCGAAGCUGAGACGAAGGAGAAGUGCAGGAAAAAUGCGAUCAAUCGAUCAAAACAACUAUAUACUCACACUGGCGGUUCGAAAAGUUUCGCACAGCGGAUGGAAGAAGAGUCGGAAGAACAAGGAAGGAGAGUCGGUAGAGGAGAGCUAUGGAUCACAGUGCACAAAAAAAUGGCUUAUAUAUCAAUGAUGAAGCAAGAGCAAUUGGUGAAAGAAUUGAGGAGAUUGAGCAACAUGAUGAGUCUUCUAGAAUGUUGUCUCAAAAUGAUUCCAUUGCUCAGGUUUUCGGAAAAGAGAAACCGGGUAGAGUACGUGGUGUGGAUUUUGGACCAACUCCUAGUCAACUCUUCGGUCCGAAUUCACAUGCGUCUGGCAACGAAGUCCAACUAGAGGAGACCCAGAGGAAGCUGCUUGAACUGCAGGCAGAGAUGGAAGGCGAAAAGUUGAAGAGGAAGGCGAUGGAGGAUGAGGCAGCAGUAGAGAAGAAAAAGAUGAAGGCGAUAGAGAGUGCUCUGAUUUAUCUAUUUCAACGGCAGGGUGAGGUGCUACCAUCAGACAUCGCUGUAGGGAUGAGUUUUGUGGAAUGAUAGAGGGAAAAUAGAAUAUUAGAAUUGGAGUUAUUUUGCAUUGAAGCAAAUAUUUUAUUGAAUUAGACUGUGCAACUCUUUGAAAGAGAUUUAUUUACUUUGUAUUUGGAUGGAUAUAUUAUUUUGUUUUGCUUAUAUUUCAA
Non-coding RNA from Arachis ipaensis, 1672 nucleotides. NCBI's taxonomy places the organism in Eukaryota, Viridiplantae, Streptophyta, Magnoliopsida, Fabales, Fabaceae. The record is from RefSeq and is a predicted model, not a curated record.